AGCUUUGCGCAGUGGCAGUAUCGUAGCCAAUGAGGUUUAUCUGAGGCGCGAUUAUUGCUAAUUGAAAUAUCAAUUUUAAAGUACAAUAUUUUUAUUUUGGAUUUUAUUUCCAAUUCUUUCUUAUUAUUUAGGAAG
Molecule: small nuclear RNA, 135 nt
Organism: Neogale vison (American mink)
Lineage: Eukaryota; Metazoa; Chordata; Mammalia; Carnivora; Mustelidae
Product: U4 spliceosomal RNA
Exons: 1
Source: RefSeq, a predicted model, not a curated record